This 253-nucleotide ribosomal RNA is filed under the name uncultured bacterium. RNAcentral describes it as "partial 16S ribosomal RNA". It matches the Rfam family "Bacterial small subunit ribosomal RNA", at positions 524 to 776 of the family's 1533-position model. The record is from RNAcentral.
UACGUAGGGUGCGAGCGUUAAUCGGAAUUACUGGGCGUAAAGUGUGCGCAGGUGGCCGCGCAAGUCGAGUGUGAAAUCCCCCGGCUUAACCUGGGAACUGCGUCUGAUACUGGAAGGCUUGAGUAUGGGAGAGGGAUGUAGAAUUCCCGGUGGAGCGGUGAAAUGCGUAGAGAUCGGGAAGAACGCCGGCGGCGAAAGCGACUCUCUGGUCGGAAUCUGACGCUGAGGUGCGAAAGCUAGGGGAGCAAACGGG